UGGGGAAUAUUGGACAAUGGGCGAAAGCCUGAUCCAGCGACGCCGCGUGAGUGAUGAAGGCCUUAGGGUUGUAAAGCUCUUUUAAUAGGGAAGAUAAUGACGGUACCUAUAGAAAAAGCCCCGGCAAACUUCGUGCCAGCAGCCGCGGUAAUACGAAGGGGGCUAGCGUUACUCGGAAUUACUGGGCGUAAAGCGUGCGUAGGCGGUUUGGAAAGUUGGAAGUGAAAGCCUGAGGCUCAACCUCAGAAUUGCUUUCAAAACUACCUUACUAGAGUAUCAGAGGGGAUAGCGGAAUUCCUAGUGUAGAGGUGAAAUUCGUAGAUAUUAGGAGGAACACCGGAGGCGAAAGCGGUUAUCUGGCUGAAUACUGACGCUGUUGCACGAAAGCGUGGGGAGCAAA
This 400-nucleotide ribosomal RNA is filed under the name uncultured bacterium. RNAcentral's name for it is "bacterial SSU rRNA". It matches the Rfam family "Bacterial small subunit ribosomal RNA", at positions 355 to 772 of the family's 1533-position model. The record is from RNAcentral.